AUUGAACGCUGGCGGCAGGCCUAACACAUGCAAGUCGAACGAGUGGCGGAGGGGUGAGAAAUGUCUGGGAAACUGCCAGAUGGAGGGGGAUAACUACUGGAAACGGUAGUUAAUACCGCAUACCAUCGGAUGUGCGCAGAUGGGAUUAGCUAGUAGGUGGGGUAAAGGCUUACCUAGGCGCCGAUCCCUAGCGGGUCUGAGAGGAUGACCAGCCACACUGGAACUGAGACACGGUCCAGACUCCUACGGGAGGCAGCAGUGGGGAAUAUUGCACAAUGGGCGCAAGCCUGAUGCAGCCAUGCCGCGUGUAUGAAGAAGGCCUUCGGGUUGUAAAGUACUUUCAGCAGGGAGGCGUUACCCGCACAGGAAGCACCGGCUAACUCCGUGCCAGCAGCCGCGGUAAUUC
This 406-nucleotide ribosomal RNA is filed under the name uncultured bacterium. RNAcentral's name for it is "partial 16S ribosomal RNA". It matches the Rfam family "Bacterial small subunit ribosomal RNA", at positions 30 to 526 of the family's 1533-position model. The record is from RNAcentral.